GAUCACGCCCUAUGGGAAGGCGCUCAGAAGGAAAGCCGGGCCCUGCUGGACAACCCCUAAUUUUCACGUCUGUUACCCAGGCCUUACCUCGUCAGGCCAGAGCAAGAUUGGGAAGAUACGUGAGGGAUGCUUCACAUUGCCUUCCCGUGAUAAAAACAGGCCCUGGAGCGAAUGUAUCACUUGCCACAAGGAAGGACACAAAGGGUGACACAUCUGCGAUAUGGGAGUAGAAGAAAAAGAUGAACACACCCAUGAAGUCCUGCGGGAUGUCAGGAGACCCUACUCUUUUCAAUAAAUCAGUGAAGAAGAAAGAAAUCCCCCGAGAGGAAGCAACGGCUCGAGACUCUCCACGGUGGCUGUGACACGACACGGAUGCUGUUCCUGCGUUGGUAACUGCAGCUCUGCAGACCUGGGCAACCACGCCACACAGUCUCAGUUGCUGCUCAGCCACCACAGUCUGCACUGUCCCCACUGCUAUGUGGUGUUUAUCCCCUGCACAGGAAUUAGUGGGUUAGCAGGGUUGGGCUGCUCUGAUAUUUAGGGAAACGGUGUGGAGUUGCACCAGGGGAGGGUCAGGUUGGGGGUUAGGAAAAGGCUCUUCACAGAGGGCAGUGGGCAUGGAACAGGUUGCCCAGGGUAAUGGGCAUGGCCCCAAGUGCUGGAGUUCAAGGAGCAUCUGUACAACACUAGGGUCUGAUUUUUGGGUGGUGUGGCAUAGCCAGGAGCUGGACUCGAUGAUCCUUAUGGUUUUCUUCUAACUUGGGAAAUUCUAUGACUAUGAUAUACCGUCCAGGAGCCUCAGGAACUCCCUGUGGUGCUGGCAUACCAGGGCAGGUGAAUCCAGGUGAGAAAUGAGUGCAAACCUUCUGUUACCUGGAGGCAAGGAAGGCAAGAGCACAGGAUUUGGCUGGAGGUGAGGCAGGAUGGCAGGCGACAUGCUGCUUUACCUUCUAAUCUGUGCAUCAUAGCAUGCCCCAAAAUCAGAGGUCCUGCUCUAACACCAUGCACUUCCACAAUUCACAUCAAAGAAAUCAGAAAACAAACUUCCUUUUUUCUUCUCUGUCCUCUAUUUCCAAAGCCCUGGCACCCCGAGAAAAAAAUAAAAAUAAAAAUGUUUUUCAGACUAUGAACCCCACAGUUUGUGAACCAGCACAGCAACAAGAGAAGGAACAAGAUUUGCAGCUGGGCUGUGAGUGCAGGUGACACAGGCACACUUGGUAUCCCACAGGAUACAGACCGUGAAAGAAAAGACACCUAGGAGGAUGAUAAAAGUUGCCUGGAUCUCUCAAAUGGGCUCAAGCCCCAUUCCAAACUACUGAUUGCCCUGAACAGCACCUGCACAGGGAAGCGGUGCUAGAUACCCAAGCCCAGGGACAGCGAUGACUUCCAUGUGGAUGCAGUUGGUAUCUGGAUGAAGUUUAGGAACCAUGGGAGACUGCUGGGGAGAUCAGCCUCCAGGGAGCAGAUGCACAUUUAGGAGCUGGGCUCGCCAGCCCUUCCUUGACCCCCCAGAGAUUCAUCACUCCUUCAGCACUGUGACGGCCGGGUCACUCUUCCAUGUUUUCUCCCCAUGAUGUGUGUCCUCCCAUGAUGUAAAUUUGUGUCGGGUAUGUCCUGGCUUCUUUCCUGCUACCUUCCUUUGGGACCGUUAAGGAAAACAUUUAAUUAUGUCUUUUUUCCAUUUACCAGUGGCCAACAUACUCACAAAUUAUCCUUGCCAUGUCUUGCACGUAAAAUUGAACACUCCUCCAAAUACCUCCUUCCGUGCAUAUCUGAAAAAUGUCCUACUUACCUUAACCUCUUUGCAAUAUUUCUUUCACGCCUUGCUUUGGCUUUUGUGUGUUUGUGUGCACACGUGCAUGUCAUUCUUGCACUCCAUCCCCUCUACCCUACAGCACCUCCCUCCCUCCUCUGGUGUGUUGCACUUUGCAUAGGUCUCAUCACAUUCUGCUCUUGCACACCCACCCAUGGUGCACUGUGUUAACUCCUGCACUAUUUAUUACUGCAUGGCAUGUGAAACGUGGGCUGUGAUGUAUGUGCCACUGCUUUUCAUCUCCUACCAGCACACCUCAUGUCCUCACUCUCCUUUGUUUUGUGUCAUUCGAAUUCACCAGUCAUUGUGGAUUUCUUCCCUAAAUAGUUGUCAUAGGAGUUGACAUUUCUGUCCCUGUCUGUUUGGGAAACACAUCUGCCUUGCAAGAGGAUUUUAUACAACUGCAAAUGUGCCUCCCUUUUAGGCUGGAGUUCCAAACGCCUCCGAGGAGCCCAUGGACACCUGGCUGGGCACUGACGAGCUCACGGCAUGAUGAACGAGGCUGCUGCCCAGAGCUCUGUGCCAUACUGUGGGAGACACCAUGGUUGGGCUGCCCCAUCUAACGGAGGUGGGAAGGGAUGUUGUGGCUGCUCAUCUCUGUGCUCUGCAGACAGGCAGGCUGCUUGCAAUUUGAAUCACUGCCAUCCGGUCCCAUAUACCAUUGUCCUAAUGUCCCUUAUCUCACUUAUUUCUAGGCAUUCCUCCGCAGCAAUUAUGCCUUUCCUUUCCAAUCUCCCUUGAAGUAUCCUUUACUAUUUACCCACAUUGAUUUUUUGUGUCUCCUUUUAUUUAUGCCUAUUGUACCUUGAAUUAUAAAGUGAAUGGCAAAUUUUAAGACUCUAACAUGCUCCUGCUUGCCUCUGUGUGUCUAUUUUCAUUUCUGCCUCUUCAUUGUACUACAGAUCACUCUUCCUUCAGUAAGGCUACUUCACAAACUUCCACAGGGAAGCCCUGAAGUGGAAGUGCACAUAUUUUUUUUUAUAUGUCUAUCACUCUAAUGCUUAAUUUUAUCAGUGGGUAGAUGCAUCCUCUUGUGCUCCCUUGGGUUCUCCUCUCCUUUUCCAUGGGUUUUAUUAGAAAAAAACACCAACAACAAACAAAUGAAAAGACUGCCAACAUCAAGGACAUGGAAACAUCCUUCUUACCCUGUGUUUAAAAUCUUCAGGUCUGACUAUGCCAUUUUUGGAUAGUACAAUAACUGCAUUUAAAUACUGAAAUUAAUUCCACGGUAAAGUUAAGUGCUCUGAAUACUUAUAAAGGCUUAUGGGCUUACUAAAGGUUGAUGGAUAGUGGUUUUGACACAAGCAGUUCUGAUGUCAUUAGAGUACUUUGCAGAGAUCCUACAGAGAAUAUAUGCUAAGUGUUGGAAAUGAGUAAGGAAAGCAUCUGAAAUUCAAUUAAUGGACAAACUUUACAGAGAAAAUCACCUGACAGGGCAGCAUCCAGGAAUUACAGGUGAACCACAGGAGCCAAAGGCAUUCCAGGCCUCCCAAAUAACUCCUGAAGCUCACAAAAGUAGUUUCAGCCAGCAACUGUGACUUGUUUAUAGCUUAUAAAAUAGCCCACUUUUCCCUUCCCUUCCCUUCCCUUCCCUUCCCUUCCCUUCCCUUCCCUUCCCUUCCCUUCCCUUCCCUUCCCUUCCCUUCCCUUCCCUUCCCUUCCCUUCCCUUCCCUUCCCUUCCCUUCCCUUCCCUUCCCUUCCCUUCCCUUCCCUUCCCUUCCCUUCCCUUCCCUUCCCUUCCCUUUUUUUGGAGGUUCAGUCAAGGCCCAAAUUGUGUUAGAUCUCAGGAAGCUCCAUCCCAAACCCAACAAGAGCAAGCAUACCCAAGUCU
This is a long non-coding RNA of Gallus gallus (chicken), 3645 nucleotides long. RefSeq lists it as uncharacterized. The record is from RefSeq and is a predicted model, not a curated record. NCBI's taxonomy places the organism in Eukaryota, Metazoa, Chordata, Aves, Galliformes, Phasianidae. The transcript has 3 exons.